This 531-nucleotide ribosomal RNA is filed under the name uncultured bacterium. RNAcentral describes it as "bacterial SSU rRNA". It matches the Rfam family "Bacterial small subunit ribosomal RNA", at positions 335 to 879 of the family's 1533-position model. The record is from RNAcentral.
ACUCCUACGGGAGGCUGCAGUGGGGAAUAUUGCGCAAUGGGGGAAACCCUGACGCAGCAACGCCGCGUGAAGGAUGAAGGUUUUCGGAUUGUAAACUUCUUUGAUUGGGGACGAAGAAAUGACGGUACCCAAAAAACAAGCCACGGCUAACUACGUGCCAGCAGCCGCGGUAAUACGUAGGUGGCGAGCGUUGUCCGGAAUUACUGGGUGUAAAGGGCGUGUAGGCGGGAAUGUAAGUCAGAUGUGAAAUUCCAGGGCUCAACCCUGGCGCUGCAUCUGAAACUAUGUUUCUUGAGUGCUGGAGAGGAAAGCGGAAUUCCUAGUGUAGCGGUGAAAUGCGUAGAUAUUAAGAGGAACACCAGUGGCGAAGGCGGCUUUCUGGACAGUAACUGACGCUGAGGCGCGAAAGCGUGUGGGAGCACACAGGAUUAGAUACCCUGGUAGUCCACGCUGUAAACGAUGGAUACUAUGUGUAGGAGGUAUCGACCCCUUCUGUGCCGCAGUUAACACAAUAAGUAUCCCACCUGGGGA